GGGAGCUUCCAAAAAGGCAACAAUGUCAAAGAAAAAGGUUGAACAGGAAGACAAGUUAAAACUACACAGUGAAACCCAAAGACUUAUUAGAGGUAGAGUUUUUUAUGAUGUUUGUUAAAUAUAGCUUUUGCAAAGAGAUUUAAUAAGAAUCAUAUUUCUCCGCAAGAUAGUUCAAAUUACAAUACUAAAUUUAAAAACACACAGCAGUCAUUUUUUCAUUUCUUCUAUAAAGUUAUAUUUCUUCUAGAUAACUGUUUUUAUUAUUAUGAAAAUACCAGCAAAUUUGGAGAAAUAGAAAACUUUGUAUUCAUAGCUCUCCAAUGUUUGAUAUCAUCUGUUUAAAUCAGGUGAAGGAUGCUGACUCCUUGGAGCCUUAGAUAUUCAAUUUGCCUUUAUUUCAGUUAGAAUUUUCAUAUUCAUUUAAAUUAAAUGCAUAAUUUUUUUUUCAGAAUCAAGAGUAAAUAUACCAUACCAUCAACCUGAACCUAAACGUUUACAAGACUUUCUAGCAAGAGCUUCUAAUAAGCAACAACAAUAUAAGAAUUUACGAGGGACCAGGGACUCAUUGUAUGUGUAC
This 577-nucleotide long non-coding RNA is filed under the name Mytilus galloprovincialis (Mediterranean mussel). Lineage: Eukaryota; Metazoa; Mollusca; Bivalvia; Mytilida; Mytilidae. The record is from RNAcentral.